RNAcentral lists this ribosomal RNA (594 nucleotides) under Naganishia uzbekistanensis. RNAcentral describes it as "eukaryotic LSU rRNA". It matches the Rfam family "Eukaryotic large subunit ribosomal RNA", at positions 82 to 666 of the family's 3401-position model. The record is from RNAcentral. Lineage: Eukaryota; Fungi; Basidiomycota; Tremellomycetes; Filobasidiales; Filobasidiaceae.
AGUACGGCGAGUGAGCGGGAAGAGCUCAAAUUUGAAAUCUGGUAGCCUUCGGCUGCCCGAGUUGUAAUCUAGAGAAGUGUUUUCCGUGCCGGCCCAUGUACAAGUCCCUUGGAACAGGGCGUCAUAGAGGGUGAGAAUCCCGUCCUUGACAUGGACCCCCGGUGCUUUGUGAUACACUUUCAACGAGUCGAGUUGUUUGGGAAUGCAGCUCAAAAUGGGUGGUGAAUUCCAUCUAAAGCUAAAUAUUGGCGAGAGACCGAUAGCGAACAAGUACCGUGAGGGAAAGAUGAAAAGCACUUUGGAAAGAGAGUUAAACAGUACGUGAAAUUGUUGAAAGGGAAACGAUUGAAGUCAGUCAUGCUCUUUGGAUUCAGCCGUUCUGCGGUGUAUUUCCAUUGAGUGGGGUCAACAUCAGUUUUGAUCGCUGGAUAAAGGCACUAGGAAGGUAGCACUCUCGGGUGAACUUAUAGCCUAGCGUCAUAUACAGUGAUUGGGACUGAGGAACGCAGCAUGCCUUUAUGGCCGGGAUUCGUCCACGUACAUGCUUAGGAUGUUGACAUAAUGGCUUUAAACGACCCGUCUUGAAACACGGAC